CCUACGGGAGGCAGCAGUGAGGAAUCUUGGUCAAUGGGCGAGAGCCUGAACCAGCCAAGUCGCGUGAAGGAUGACGGCCCUACGGGUUGUAAACUUCUUUUGUCAGGGAGCAAUUUGGUCCACGCGUUGGCUUAGCGAGAGUACCUGAAGAAAAAUCAUCGGCUAACUCCGUGCCAGCAGCCGCGGUAAUACGGAGGAUGCGAUCGUUAUCCGUAUUUAUUGUGUUUAAAGGGUGCGUAGGCGGAAUAUCAAGUCAGCGGUAAAACUUCGGGGCUCAACCCCGUCGUGCCGUUGAAACUGAUGUUCGGGAGUAGGCGAGAAGUAUGCGGAAUGCGUGGUGUAGCGGUGAAAUGCAUAGAUAUCACGCAGAACUCCGAUUGCGAAGGCAGCAUACCGGCGCCCAACUGACGCUGAAGCACGAAAGCGUGGGUAUCGAACAGGAUUAGAUACCCGGGUAGUC
RNAcentral lists this ribosomal RNA (460 nucleotides) under uncultured bacterium. RNAcentral describes it as "partial 16S ribosomal RNA". It matches the Rfam family "Bacterial small subunit ribosomal RNA", at positions 338 to 795 of the family's 1533-position model. The record is from RNAcentral.